CCAUAUCCCCAUUUCAUCACGAUUGACUUCUCGGCGCCAAGGGUCUCUACUUGUUACAAAACCCAUCGAAUACAAAAGACGCACUUAUGCACGUCCACAUGUAGACCAUAAUAUAUAGUCCAUGUUUACACAAAACAUUAACAGGAGAGUUAGUUAGUUGAGAUUAACGAAGUCACAACUAUGACCUUAUUAUUGACAAAUACACCAAGCAAGUAUCUCACCUACCAUUAAGGGCAUCUACAACGCAAGCCGCCUCACCAGACGCUUAUGAAGGAAAAAAUACUACUCCAUCC
RNAcentral lists this long non-coding RNA (293 nucleotides) under Hordeum vulgare. RNAcentral's name for it is "long non-coding RNA (HVUL_LNC018574)". Lineage: Eukaryota; Viridiplantae; Streptophyta; Magnoliopsida; Poales; Poaceae. The record is from RNAcentral.